CCUACGGGAGGCAGCAGUGGGGAAUAUUGCGCAAUGGGCGAAAGCCUGACGCAGCGACGCCGCGUGAGGGAUGAAGGCCUUCGGAUCGUAAACCUCUGUUAGCAGGGAAGAACGGUCACUGUGUUAAUCAGCAGUGUAUUGACGGUACCUGCAAAGGAAGCACCGGCUAACUCCGUGCCAGCAGCCGCGGUAAUACGGAGGGUGCGAGCGUUAAUCGGAAUUACUGGGCGUAAAGCGCUCGUAGGCGGUAUGUCAAGUCAAGGGUGAAAGCCCCGGGCUAAACGUGGGAACUGCCUUCUAGACUGGCAGACUAGAGUGUGUGAGAGGAUGGUGGAAUUCCAGGUGUAGGAGUGAAAUCCGUAGAUAUCUGGAAGAACAUCAGUGGCGAAGGCGACUAUCUGGCACGUAACUGACGCUGAGGAGCGAAAGCGUGGGUAGCAAACAGGAUUAGAUACCCUGGUAGUC
RNAcentral lists this ribosomal RNA (465 nucleotides) under uncultured bacterium. Its description in RNAcentral is "partial 16S ribosomal RNA". It matches the Rfam family "Bacterial small subunit ribosomal RNA", at positions 338 to 795 of the family's 1533-position model. The record is from RNAcentral.